CUCAGAGAGAAGAUGCCCA
RNAcentral lists this non-coding RNA (19 nucleotides) under Mus musculus (house mouse). The record is from RNAcentral. Lineage: Eukaryota; Metazoa; Chordata; Mammalia; Rodentia; Muridae.